This 422-nucleotide ribosomal RNA is filed under the name uncultured eukaryote. RNAcentral describes it as "bacterial SSU rRNA". It matches the Rfam family "Eukaryotic small subunit ribosomal RNA", at positions 592 to 1018 of the family's 1831-position model. The record is from RNAcentral.
CAAUAGCGUAUAUUAAAGUUGUUGCGGUUAAAAAGCUCGUAGUUGGAUUUCUGUUAGGGACGACCGGUCCGCACUAUGUGCGUGUAUCUGGCUCGGCCUUGGCAUCCUCCUGGGGAACGGUGCUGCGCUUGAUUGCGUGGUCCGGUAUUCAGGACUUUUACUUUGAGGAAAUUAGAGUGUUUACGGCAGGCAAUCGCCUUGAAUAUAUUAGCAUGGAAUAAUAAGAUAAGACUUGGGUCAUUAUUUUGUUGGUUUGCGGAUCGAGGUAAUGAUUAAUAGGGAUAGUUGGGGGUAUUCAUAUUUAAUUGUCAGAGGUGAAAUUCUUGGAUUUAUGAAAGAUGAACUUAGGCGAAAGCAUUUGCCAAGGAUGUUUUCAUUGAUCAAGAACGAAAGUUAGGGGAUCGAAGACGAUCAGAUACCAU